This 163-nucleotide ribosomal RNA is filed under the name uncultured bacterium. Its description in RNAcentral is "partial 16S ribosomal RNA". It matches the Rfam family "Bacterial small subunit ribosomal RNA", at positions 393 to 539 of the family's 1533-position model. The record is from RNAcentral.
AAUGCCGCGUGUGUGAAGAAGGCCUGCGGGUUGUAAAGCACUUUUAUCAGGGAAGAAACGGCCUGGGCUAAUACCCCAUGGCAAUUGACGGUACCUGAAGAAUAAGCACCGGCUAACUCCGUGCCAGCCACUUCGGUGACUGAGCGGGCUGGCAAGGCGCAUA